AGAUAUGAUCCAGAGUACCACGGGACACGUGAAACCCUGUGGGAAGCAGGAGGGACCACCCUCCAAGGCUAAAUACUACCUAGUGACCGAUAGCGUAUAGUACCGUGAGGGAAAGGCGAAAAGAACCCCGGGAGGGGAGUGAAAUAGAACCUGAAACCCUGCACUUACAAGCUGUGGAAGCACAUUUCUUGUGUGACCGCGUACUUUUUGUAGAACGGGCCAACGAGUUACGUUAAGUAGCAAGGUUAAGCACUUAAGGUGUGGAGC
This 267-nucleotide ribosomal RNA is filed under the name Clostridioides difficile. RNAcentral describes it as "partial 23S ribosomal RNA". It matches the Rfam family "Bacterial large subunit ribosomal RNA", at positions 398 to 666 of the family's 2925-position model. Lineage: Bacteria; Bacillati; Bacillota; Clostridia; Peptostreptococcales; Peptostreptococcaceae. The record is from RNAcentral.